GCUCUGCAGGCCCGACACCGGGCCAACCUGGCCACCCUGUUCGAGACACUCAACACCGUGGUCUGCCCCACAUCCAACAAGAUGCCUGCUAAGUGGAAGAUCUUGGACCACGCCAAAGGAUUUCUGAAAGAGCAGGAAGCCCACCUGAGCAGACUGAUGCUCCUGAAAGGGAUAUUCCUCGGUAAUGAAGACGGGCCCUGCAGCUUGGAGGAAGUGAGGGCAGAGUACCGGAGGCUGCAGUCACACAGCAG
Long non-coding RNA from Oncorhynchus nerka (sockeye salmon), 251 nucleotides. RefSeq lists it as uncharacterized. The transcript is spliced from 3 exons. Lineage: Eukaryota; Metazoa; Chordata; Actinopteri; Salmoniformes; Salmonidae. The record is from RefSeq and is a predicted model, not a curated record.